Molecule: ribosomal RNA, 491 nt
Filed under: uncultured bacterium
Lineage: Bacteria
Description: partial 16S ribosomal RNA
Rfam family: Bacterial small subunit ribosomal RNA
Source: RNAcentral
AGUGAACGCUGGUGGUAGGCCUAACACAUGCAAGUCGAACGGCAGCACAGUAAGAGCUUGCUCUUACGGGUGGCGAGUGGCGGACGGGUGAGGAAUACAUCGGAAUCUACUUUUUCGUGGGGGAUAACGUAGGGAAACUUACGCUAAUACCGCAUACGACCUACGGGUGAAAGCAGGGGAUCUUCGGACCUUGCGCGAUUGAAUGAGCCGAUGUCGGAUUAGCUAGUUGGCGGGGUAAAGGCCCACCAAGGCGACGAUCCGUAGCUGGUCUGAGAGGAUGAUCGGCCAAACUGGAACUGAGACACGGCCCAGACUCCUAGGGGGGGCAGGAGUGGGGAAUUUUGGACAAGGGGCGAAAGCCUGAUCCAGCCAUACCGCGUGGGUGAAGAAGGCCUUCGGGUUGUAAAGCCCUUUUGUUGGGAAAGAAAAGCAGCAGGUUAAUACCCCGCUGUUCUGACGGUACCCAAAGAAUAAGCACCGGCUAACUUCGU